RNAcentral lists this ribosomal RNA (253 nucleotides) under uncultured bacterium. RNAcentral describes it as "partial 16S ribosomal RNA". It matches the Rfam family "Bacterial small subunit ribosomal RNA", at positions 524 to 776 of the family's 1533-position model. The record is from RNAcentral.
UACGAAGGGGGCUAGCGUUGCUCGGAAUUACUGGGCGUAAAGCGCACGUAGGCGGAUUCUUAAGUCAGGGGUGAAAUCCCGGAGCUCAACUCCGGAACUGCCUUUGAUACUGAGAGUCUCGAGUCCGGGAGAGGUGAGUGGAACUCCGAGUGUAGAGGUGAAAUGCGCAGAUAUCAGGAAGAACACCCGUGGCGAAGGCGGCUCUCUGGGACGGUACUGACGCUGAGACGCGAAAGCGUGGGGAGCGAACAGG